GCCCCCAUCGUCUAGCGGCCCAGGACAACACCCUUUCAAGGUGUAGAUCGCGGGUUCGAAUCCCGCUGGGGGUACCA
This 77-nucleotide transfer RNA is filed under the name Roseiflexaceae bacterium. RNAcentral's name for it is "tRNA-Glu". It matches the Rfam family "tRNA". Rfam says of the family: Transfer RNA (tRNA) molecules are approximately 80 nucleotides in length. Their secondary structure includes four short double-helical elements and three loops (D, anti-codon, and T loops). The record is from RNAcentral. RNAcentral also lists the same sequence under 5 other names. Lineage: Bacteria; Bacillati; Chloroflexota; Chloroflexia; Chloroflexales; Roseiflexaceae.